UACAGAUAGACCAGCAAGAGAGCAAUGGAAAUUAAAGACAUUUGAAACCCCUUAUCUUUAUGUAUAACAUACUUGAUUUUUAUGUGACUCAGCUUUCUACAGAAAAGAUGUUAUACGAGGACGUCUGCUGGUUUGGGUGAAACAUUUGGGUGUUACAGCAGUGGCUACCCACUAAUUACUUGUGUGAUAUAAACACAGAUCCACAACAGUGGUUCCCAAAAUCUGCUCUGGUUGGGGCAAGCCAUGUAUGCAGGCAGUGCAGUCAGAGGCAGGGAACUGGGGGCAGGAUGAGAGAUGGCAUCUGCAAUGAAUCAAAAGGGUUUGGGCAGUGCAGAAAAAGACCAAAAGGGAGAAGAAAAGGCUAAAAAUUGACAGAAGACAACACGUAAUAAAUUGAGAGUAAAUCCCAUAGAAAACUUGAUAUUCCCAGGAAGGAGCUGGCGAGCCCAGAACUUAAAUCUCAUCCAUAUACAACCAAGAAGGUUUAAUGUGCUCUGCCCUCUGAAAUGAUGGAGAAGAUGAUUUAAAAGAUCUCCCACUGCUUGAGAGCCUCCUCUGAUUUCUCUGUGAUGCUGAGGCAAUGUGAAACAAUUAAUCACAAAAAGGAGGUGGGGGUAGGAAGCAAAUAGAUGCCACAAUAAAUGCAGUGAGGCGACAGAACCAACAUUAACCAUAAACAAGUAGAAACAGUGCUCAUAGCUACAAAUAAUCAUCUGUUUUUUUCUUUCCCUUCAACAGAAAAUACAAAAGAAAUUUGAAUGCUCUUUCAGAAGAGAAGGCCUGGAAAAAAAAUACUGAGGAAGUGCAGAAUUGCCACCAUAGCUACAAAAUUUCAUUUGGAGGUGCCUGAGGUCAUCCCUAUGUUCUUGCUGGGAAUCACCAGCUGGUAAGAAGCAGGUGGGUGUAGUUGCACAUGCAAAAAAGGAAGAGCGUUUAUAUUUGGGUAGGGUGAUGGCAGCUCAGAACUAAGGGUGCAUAGGGGAUAUGCAUACACCUGUAGGGUUUCACAGAGUUUCUCACAAAGCCUGCAGCUUCCCAGGGCCAGCUGAUUCAUCAGACCAUUCAGUGUGCACUGAAAACAUGUUUUGCCAGCAUGAGAAAAGCGUGUAAGCAUCAGAAAUGCUGAGUAAGGUGCGAAAAUCUUUCUGAGGUUGAAAUACUUUCAUUAACAUAUUGUGCAAAUCUGAAGCGUGACCCUCUGAGGUCUGGAUUUGUCCAUUUCUUUCACUUCUUUUAAUUUGGUGGUAGAAGUGGCAUCACAGGGAGGCAAACUGCAAAACAUGGCACUUGGCUGAAGUGCCAGGGAUGACACCUGGAAAGAUCAGAUAUAUAAACAGGAUUUGCUCUUGUGUCACCCUGCCUGGUGCC
This 1368-nucleotide long non-coding RNA is filed under the name Ficedula albicollis (Collared flycatcher). RNAcentral's name for it is "lncRNA (ENSFALG00000025609.1)". The record is from RNAcentral. Lineage: Eukaryota; Metazoa; Chordata; Aves; Passeriformes; Muscicapidae.